RNAcentral lists this ribosomal RNA (630 nucleotides) under Triticum aestivum (bread wheat). RNAcentral's name for it is "partial small subunit ribosomal RNA". Lineage: Eukaryota; Viridiplantae; Streptophyta; Magnoliopsida; Poales; Poaceae. The record is from RNAcentral.
AUGGUUUUGAAGGCAAAAUAUUAUCCCAAUGGUCACAUACUGGAUACGGUUUUCCCACAAGCCACGUCGGUGAAUUGGCAGGGUAUUAUCCAUGGAUUGGAACUAUUAAAGAAAGAGGUCAUAUGGAGAGUGGUCGAUAGCAACAAUGUUAACAUCUGGAAAGAUAAUUGGCUUCCAAGAAAUUCGGGCCUAAAAGCUAUAGCAAAAAGGAAGCGUACUAGACUGAAAUGGGUGUCGGAAUUAUUCAUGAGCGGGACUAAAACAUGGGAUGAAAAUUUGAUUAGGCAGCUAUUUUUUCACCAUGAUGCUGAGGAGAUCUUAAAGUUACGCAUUCAAUCCGUGGGGGAGGGGGAUCUUGUUGCUUGGCACUAUGAGAAAAGUGGUAUGUUCUCUGUUAAAAGUGCAUACAAACUGGCGUUAAAUCUCAAGGAUUGCAGCGAGGAGACAGGAAUUUCCAGCAGUGCGGUUAAUAAGGAAAGAAGAAUGUGGGAUGUUAUUUGGAAGGCUAAAGUCCCGCAAAAAAUUAGAAAUUUUGCUUGGAGAGCAGCGACCAACAGUUUGGCGGUACAGGUAAAUAGGGUAAACCAUCAUCAAACGGUCUUGGGUUUGUGCACUAUUUGUGGUGUUUAG